This 72-nucleotide transfer RNA is filed under the name Berkeleya fennica. RNAcentral's name for it is "tRNA-Pro". It matches the Rfam family "tRNA". Rfam says of the family: Transfer RNA (tRNA) molecules are approximately 80 nucleotides in length. Their secondary structure includes four short double-helical elements and three loops (D, anti-codon, and T loops). Lineage: Eukaryota; Bacillariophyta; Bacillariophyceae; Naviculales; Berkeleyaceae. The record is from RNAcentral.
CGAAAUAUAACGCAGUGGUAGCGUGCCUGCUUUGGGAGCAGGAAGCCAUGUGUUCGAAUCACAUUAUUUCGA